This 87-nucleotide non-coding RNA is filed under the name Pseudomonas lurida. The record is from RNAcentral. Lineage: Bacteria; Pseudomonadati; Pseudomonadota; Gammaproteobacteria; Pseudomonadales; Pseudomonadaceae.
GUGGGAGCGGGCUUGCUCGCGAAUGCGGUGUGUCAGAAACAGGUGUAUUGACUGACACACCGCAUUCGCGAGCAAGCCCGCUCCCAC